UACAGAGGGUGCAAGCGUUGUUCGGAAUUAUUGGGCGUAAAGCGCGUGUAGGCGGCUUUGCAAGUCAGGUGUGAAAGCCCUCAGCUUAACUGAGGAAGUGCGCCCGAAACUGCUUGGCUUGAGUACCGGAGAGGAUGGCGGAAUUCCCCAAGUAGAGGUGAAAUUCGUAGAUAUGGGGAGGAACACCGGUGGCGAAGGCGGCCAUCUGGACGGAUACUGACGCUGAGACGCGAAAGCGUGGGUAGCAAACAGG
RNAcentral lists this ribosomal RNA (253 nucleotides) under uncultured bacterium. Its description in RNAcentral is "partial 16S ribosomal RNA". It matches the Rfam family "Bacterial small subunit ribosomal RNA", at positions 524 to 776 of the family's 1533-position model. The record is from RNAcentral.